UCCGUAGGUGAACCUGCGGAGGGAUCAUUACCGAGUUAUACAACUCAUCAACCCUGUGAACAUACCUAAAACGUUGCUUCGGCGGGAACAGACGGCCCCGUAACACGGGCCGCCCCCGCCAGAGGACCCCCUAACUCUGUUUCUAUUAUGUUUCUUCUGAGUAAAACAAGCAAAUAAAUUAAAACUUUCAACAACGGAUCUCUUGGCUCUGGCAUCGAUGAAGAACGCAGCGAAAUGCGAUAAGUAAUGUGAAUUGCAGAAUUCAGUGAAUCAUCGAAUCUUUGAACGCACAUUGCGCCCGCCAGUAUUCUGGCGGGCAUGCCUGUUCGAGCGUCAUUACAACCCUCAGGCCCCCGGGCCUGGCGUUGGGGAUCGGCGAGGCGCCCCCUGCGGGCACACGCCGUCCCCCAAAUACAGUGGCGGUCCCGCCGCAGCUUCCAUUGCGUAGUAGCUAACACCUCGCAACUGGAGAGCGGCGCGGCCACGCCGUAAAACACCCAACUUCUGAAUGUUGACCUCGAAUCAGGUAGGAA
This 533-nucleotide ribosomal RNA is filed under the name Fusarium keratoplasticum. Its description in RNAcentral is "eukaryotic LSU rRNA". The stretch from base 183 to 336 matches the Rfam family "5.8S ribosomal RNA". Lineage: Eukaryota; Fungi; Ascomycota; Sordariomycetes; Hypocreales; Nectriaceae. The record is from RNAcentral.